GAUGAAGAACGUAGCGAAAUGCGAUAAGUAAUGUGAAUUGCAGAAUUCAGUGAAUCAUCGAAUCUUUGAACGCACAUUGCGCCCGCCAGUAUUCUGGCGGGCAUGCCUGUUCGAGCGUCAUUUCAACCAUCAAGCCCCAGGCUUGUGUUGGGGACCUGCUGCUGCCGCAGGCCCUGAAAACCAGUGGCGGGCUCGCUGUCACACCGGGCGUAGUAGAUUUUAUCUCGCUCAGGGCGUGCUGCGGGUUCCGGCCGUUAAAAAGCCUUUUUUACCCAAGGUUGACCUCGGAUCAGGUAGGAAGACCCGCUGAACUUAAGCAUAUCAAUAAGCGGAGGA
This 336-nucleotide unclassified non-coding RNA is filed under the name soil metagenome. RNAcentral describes it as "partial contains 5.8S ribosomal RNA, internal transcribed spacer 2, and large subunit ribosomal RNA". The stretch from base 1 to 120 matches the Rfam family "5.8S ribosomal RNA", at positions 35 to 154 of the family's 154-position model. The record is from RNAcentral.